Erigeron canadensis is the source of this 379-nucleotide long non-coding RNA. RefSeq lists it as uncharacterized. The transcript has 2 exons. The record is from RefSeq and is a predicted model, not a curated record. NCBI's taxonomy places the organism in Eukaryota, Viridiplantae, Streptophyta, Magnoliopsida, Asterales, Asteraceae.
CUUGGAAGUAAUUGUUUGGGAGUACCUAUUGUACAAUAACAUCAUGGUAUAUGGUACUGUGCGUGGAUACGAUAUUACAAUGGCGCUUCUGGAAGGAGCGAUCAUCUUAGUCCCUCGCUUUUUGGAGUUUUCAUGAGUGUGGUCACUCUUAUUGCUGCUACUUUACGUGGGUUACAAGAAUCUAUGACCCAUUGAUCAUGUCCUUUUGUGAGAUCAGGCUAUCAAUGCAAUUGUUAUGUUUUGCUCUUCAUAUGUUUUUGUUUUUGGUUUGCUGUCCUAAUGGUAUUGUACAAGAAUCUGUUUCUGUGGUUAUCUCUGUUAUUGUAAUUUGGAAUGUAAUCCUUUUUCAAGUUCCAUAGUUUAUAUAUGUUGAAAUCAA